This 482-nucleotide ribosomal RNA is filed under the name uncultured bacterium. RNAcentral describes it as "partial 16S ribosomal RNA". It matches the Rfam family "Bacterial small subunit ribosomal RNA", at positions 30 to 507 of the family's 1533-position model. The record is from RNAcentral.
AUUGAACGCUGGCGGCAUGCCUUACACAUGCAAGUCGAACGGUAACAGGUCUUCGGAUGCUGACGAGUGGCGAACGGGUGAGUAAUACAUCGGAACGUGCCCGAUCGUGGGGGAUAACGGAGCGAAAGCUUUGCUAAUACCUCAUACGAUCUACGGAUGAAAGCAGGGGACCGCAAGGCCUUGCGCGGACGGAGCGGCCGAUGGCAGAUUAGGUAGUUGGUGGGAUAAAAGCUUACCAAGCCGACGAUCUGUAGCUGGUCUGAGAGGACGACCAGCCACACUGGCACUGAGACACGGCCCAGACUCCUACGGGAGGCAGCAGUGGGGAAUUUUGGACAAUGGGCGAAAGCCUGAUCCAGCCAUGCCGCGUGCAGGAUGAAGGCCUUCGGGUUGUAAACUGCUUUUGUACGGAACGAAAAGACUCUUUCUAAUAAAGAGGGUCCAUGACGGUACCGUAAGAAUAAGCACCGGCUAACUACGUG